Molecule: ribosomal RNA, 253 nt
Filed under: uncultured bacterium
Lineage: Bacteria
Description: partial 16S ribosomal RNA
Rfam family: Bacterial small subunit ribosomal RNA
Source: RNAcentral
UACAGAGGGUGCGAGCGUUAAUCGGAAUUACUGGGCGUAAAGCGUGCGCAGGCGGUUUUGUAAGCCAGAUGUGAAAUCCCCGGGCUUAACCUGGGAAUGGCAUUUGGGACUGCAAGGCUGGAGUGCGGCAGAGGAGACUGGAAUUCCUGGUGUAGCAGUGAAAUGCGUAGAUAUCAGGAGGAACACCGAUGGCGAAGGCAGGUCUCUGGGCUGACACUGACGCUCAUGCACGAAAGCGUGGGGAGCAAACAGG